GCUAUGGAAGCCCCUUGAGUUCACCAACUCUGAACUUGUUUAGUCAAGGCCAUAUCACAGUGGAGGUUCCUCCCUCCAUUCGGAGAAAGGCGCCUCCCUCCUUGAUGGCCUGUUCCUUCUGCUGGGGUCUUGUUCACCAGGAUCUUUCAUUUAGAUUGUUUUGCCACCGUGUCAUGGCUUUCCAUGCCUGUGAGACUCUCAUGGGCCUUUUAGCCAGAUCCGAAUGCCCUAAGGGUUGAUUCUGAGGCCGGAGUGCUGUUUUGGGUGUUUGCCAGUCUAUGAGUCUGCUGUGUGUCCUGCUUCCCCUGCAAGAUCAUUCUCUCCCUUUUAAUUCUAUGCUUCAUUACUUGCUUACACUGGUCUUAUUUGUAAAAUCUCUUCGACACUUACCCUAACUUUUUGAUCGGUUGUGUACUUAUACUUAUCACUUUACCAUGUGUGCUGGCAUUGGUACAUGCCUCCUUGAUAAGAUUGAGUUGAAAUCCCCUGGCACAUUUCUAGUUCCACCAUUGGAGGCAGACACACACACAAACAGAAGAGAGAGAAGAGAGAAGAGAGAAGAGAGAAGAGAGAAGAGAGAAGAGAGAAGAGAGAAGAGAGAAGAGAGAAGAGAGAGAUCUUGGCCAGGUCAAAGUUAAUAGCUGGGAACUCAAUCCAGAUCUCCAAACUGGCUGGCAGGAACUCAGCUCUUCAGGAGACACUGGCUGGAGCAGGAGGAAGGAUACUCCCUCAGCGGGGCUGUGCUCUUCUCAGAUAUCGCAGGUUCCAAAAUCUUUGAAGGAAUCAAAGGAGAUCACAGAGAUGCAGCAUAAGCUUAAUUAGGUCCCACCAUUCCUGUUCAACCACUCAAGGCAGAGAAGUCCUGAAUGAUGAGAGACAGUUUUGUUCACUAAAAGCAAGAAGGAAGAAAUCUAUUUCACAAAACCGUUGCUGUCAUUGUAGUUGCUUCCUCUUUCUACAUCUCCUCGUCAUUGCAUCCCUUGAUGCUUGCUUCCUUCUCUUUCCACCAGUCUGACAUCUUCAUAUGAUUCUCUUUUUCCAUCCAGUGUUCAUGCAUCUUCCAAAAUUUGGAUGCAUUGAUAAGUGUAAUAAGACAUAGAAAGAUAAUACUGCAUGAUCUCACUUUUAUGUGGAAGUUAAUACAAACCCAUAGAAACACAGACAAAAUUGGAAGUUACCAGGAGUUAGAAGCUGGAGAAAUUUCAAGAUAUUUGUCAAAUAUUUGUCAAAGUGUACAAAGCCUCAGUUAUGAAAAACAAAAAAAAUUCUAGAAAUUAAAUACACAGCAUGGUGACUAGAGUUAGCUACACUGUAUUAUGUACUUGAAAUUUUCCAAGAGAAUAGAUCUUAAGUGUUCAGAAAAUGGCUACCCUAAUGAUGGUGAUCAUUUCACAAUGUAUAAAUAUCUACA
Oryctolagus cuniculus (rabbit) is the source of this 1411-nucleotide non-coding RNA. The record is from RefSeq and is a predicted model, not a curated record. NCBI's taxonomy places the organism in Eukaryota, Metazoa, Chordata, Mammalia, Lagomorpha, Leporidae.